UAUAUACAUUGCUUGAACGUAGAUUUCACAACGGGACCAUCAAGCAAGAAUAAUGAUUACGUACUUGUUCUAUACCUGUAAACAAAGUGUUUUUAUCAUGAGGAAGUGUAUUCUAGCACGUUGCAAUAAGACAGAUAUUGGCUAGAAGUUAUUCUAUGAAUAAAGAACGGCUGGUGAGGCAUAAAAUGCCGGUUUGUUGUUGCGCCGUCUCUUUCUACUGCGAAAUACGGAGAUGAUAUUGAUUUGUUUUCAUGGCGUCUCUCUUUUACUUGUGGGCGCGCAUAAGUCGAUUUCACCCGUGUGACCUUCCUUAUUUGUACUUCAAGUACGCGGUCAGAUAAGUUGUUUUCGUGUCAUCUCGUUCUGGCACUAGAAGCAAAAGCAAAUGAGGAAGACGCCAUUAAAGGUACGAUGUGUUGGUGCGUGGUGUUGGCGGCCUGUAUUUUUAUGUGUGUGUAAAGUGUAGAUGUGUACGUGGAUCAGGGAUAGAUCUAUGAUGGAACUUCAUACUGACUGGUACUGUUUAAGCCUAUAAAAAUAUUAAUUAUUAAUGAACAAUUAAUUAAUCAUUGUUUUAAUGGAUUAAAGUUAAUACAGGUUAUUUCAGUUAUCAGUUUCCGAUGAAAUUAUGAGUAAAAGAAACUAAUAUUAAUGUAAUAAUGUACCGAUUUGUUCAUUAGUUUUUUAUUUAAAUUGAUGGAAUGACAGGUUAAAGCACAAGACAAAGAGGGAGCUUUUUUAAACCGGGAUUAAAAAUCUCGCUGGGUACUUAUUGAUGGACGAACGAAGUCGUGUAAUGUAACAGAUAACGUUACACUAUAUUAACAAACAAAUUAAUGUAAAGUAUCCAAAUUGCCACGUUUUGUUUCUGAAUUCAUACAAUCUUUCUCUUAUAUGUAGACCUAACUGUGAAAGAACGAUUAAAGAUACUACGUAAUAUGUUAUGUAAAAUUUUAAGGAAAUUAAAAAAU
Molecule: long non-coding RNA, 971 nt
Organism: Galleria mellonella (greater wax moth)
Lineage: Eukaryota; Metazoa; Arthropoda; Insecta; Lepidoptera; Pyralidae
Exons: 4
Source: RefSeq, a predicted model, not a curated record